Molecule: ribosomal RNA, 488 nt
Filed under: uncultured bacterium
Lineage: Bacteria
Description: partial 16S ribosomal RNA
Rfam family: Bacterial small subunit ribosomal RNA
Source: RNAcentral
GAUGAACGCUGGCGGCGUGCCUAACACAUGCAAGUCGAACGGAAGGACCCUAAGUUUGUGGGGUGCCGGUUUGCGGAAGGCGGGUGUGUAACGUGUGUAUCCCGCACUUGUCUUUGGGGUAACAUCAGGAAACUGGGGAUACGAUAGGAUAGGAUAUCUUGCAGCGUGGUGAGCGGUGGAAAGUUUCGGCUGUUGGGGAUGGACUAGCGGCUUAUUAGCUAGUUGGUGGGGUAGGUGACUACCAAGCCUAUGAAGGGUAGACGGCGUGAGAGGGUGAUCGGCCACAUUGGAACUGAGACACGGUCAAGACUCCUAAGGGAGGCAGCAGUGGGGAAUGUUAGGCAAUGGUCGGAAGUAUGACGCAGCGAUCCCGCGUGUGUUAUGAAGGCCUUCGGGUCGUAAAGACCUCUUUCUGGGGAAGAACAGCUGUCGCCUUAAACGUAGCGGUAGUGACGGUAACGAAUAAAAAAGCACCGGCUAACUACGUG